Molecule: ribosomal RNA, 253 nt
Filed under: uncultured bacterium
Lineage: Bacteria
Description: partial 16S ribosomal RNA
Rfam family: Bacterial small subunit ribosomal RNA
Source: RNAcentral
UACGAGGGGGGCAAAUGUUGUUCGGAAUCACUGGGCGUAAAGGGAGCGUAGGCGGGCUUCUAAGUUAGGUGUUUAAUCCCAGGGCCCAACCCUGGUCAGGCACCUAAAACUGGGAGUCUUGAAUAGUGGAGAGGACGAUGGAAUUGGGGGUGUAGCGGUGGAAUGCGUAGAGAUCCCCAAGAACACCAGUUGCGGAGGCGGUCGUCUGGACACAUAUUGACGCUGAGGCUCGAAAGCAUGGGGAGCAAACAGG